Molecule: ribosomal RNA, 433 nt
Filed under: uncultured Clostridium sp.
Lineage: Bacteria; Bacillati; Bacillota; Clostridia; Eubacteriales; Clostridiaceae
Description: partial 16S ribosomal RNA
Rfam family: Bacterial small subunit ribosomal RNA
Source: RNAcentral
ACGGAAGGCAGCAGUGGGGAAUAUUGCACAGUGGGGAAACCCUGAUGCAGCAACGCCGCGUGAGUGAAGAAGUAUUUCGGUAUGUAAAGCUCUAUCAGCAGGGAAGAAAAUGACGGUACCUGACUAAGAAGCCCCGGCUAACUACGUGCCAGCAGCCGCGGUAAUACGUAGGGGGCAAGCGUUAUCCGGAUUUACUGGGUGUAAAGGGAGCGUAGACGGCGAAGCAAGUCUGAAGUGAAGGCCCACGGCUCAACCGUGGAACUGCUUUGGAAACUGUUUUGCUAGAGUGCAGGAGGGGCAGGCGGAAUUCCUAGUGUAGCGGUGAAACGCGUAGAUAUUAGGAGGAACACCGGUGGCGAAGGCGGCCUGCUGGACUGUAACUGACGUUGAGGCUCGAAAGCGUGGGGAGCAAACAGGAUUAGAUACCCUGGUA